This is a non-coding RNA of Pelobates cultripes (western spadefoot toad), 225 nucleotides long. Lineage: Eukaryota; Metazoa; Chordata; Amphibia; Anura; Pelobatidae. The record is from the annotation of a GenBank genome assembly.
CAUUCUUGUUUUUGGCAUUUUAUGCAAUGUGAUGAUAGUUGCUCAGGCUUCUUUCACCUCUAUUUUUAGGAGUAAAAUCUUUACCACAUUAGAACAUCUAGUUUAAAGCCACAAAUAAGGAUAGGAAAGAGGCCUGCUGGGAUCCAUAUAGGUGGGAGCGGUUUCAAUUUCAAUACAAAGUUAACAACUUCUCACUUGUUUACAGGGUCUUACAAUAUAAAGGUG